AACGAACGCUGUCGGCAUGCCUAACACAUGCAAGUCGAACGAAGCCUUCGGGCUUAGUGGCGCACGGGUGCGUAACGCGUGGGAAUCUGCCCUUGGGUUCGGAAUAACAGUUAGAAAUGACUGCUAAUACCGGAUGAUGUCUUCGGACCAAAGAUUUAUCGCCCAAGGAUGAGCCCGCGUAGGAUUAGGUAGUUGGUGGGGUGAUGGCCCACCAAGCCGACGAUCCUUAGCUGGUCUGAGAGGAUGAUCAGCCACACUGGGACUGAGACACGGCCCAGACUCCUACGGGAGGCAGCAGUGGGGAAUAUUGGACAAUGGGCGAAAGCCUGAUCCAGCAAUGCCGCGUGAGUGAUGAAGGCCCUCGGGUUGUAAAGCUCUUUUACCAGGGAUGAUAAUGACAGUACCUGGAGAAUAAGCUCCGGCUAACUCCGUGCCAGCAGCCGCCGUAA
RNAcentral lists this ribosomal RNA (449 nucleotides) under uncultured bacterium. RNAcentral describes it as "partial 16S ribosomal RNA". It matches the Rfam family "Bacterial small subunit ribosomal RNA", at positions 29 to 523 of the family's 1533-position model. The record is from RNAcentral.